CCACCCAACGGUCCGAAUCUAAUGAACGCGAAUGGUCACUCUCUAAUCUCGGUGGUCAAUCACGAAUCUCACGGCCCGAGGUCGUCUUGCACCUCUGCCUCAUGGCCGCGGCAGAGCGCGCCCCGCACGACGGCGCUACACGCUGGUGAACGCCAACUCUGUGGUUCCGAGCCACGGCUUAUGAACAUUUACUCGCUACGCAAAGAUGGCACCACGACAAACCGUACUGUGGAACAAGUGUCCAAUUUUGCAUCGCGACGAGCUCUGUCCCCCGAGCUAUGCGGUCCGCGGCGAUGCUACGCACCACGGCAAGCAAUUACCAGCGCAGCGGUGCCCAAAAUCUCACAUCAAUCGGUGUGAUAUGAAGCGAUUACCAAUACGAAACGGCAAGGGCACAUACACCUUCAUUUGACGUGCAGAACUCCUCUGUCCACGAUAGGGGUGUGAUUCGGCGAUGGUGGUCUCCCAACGGUGAGAAUCUACGGGUUCCUCAACGACAGCCUCCCCGACGCGUCCGUGAGUGACUUCACCAUGCUCCCGCGGUGCUCCUCGACUUGAUUCCGGAUCACCGACGGUGCUGGCGGCUCGCCUACGGUGUGGCGGCUCCGAUCUCUUUUGCACGGUGAUGGCGGCUCACGAGUUGUACAUGGAUGGUCACGCAGAUGAGCCCUAGGAGGAAUUUUAUGUACCCGGCAGGAGAGCCUCAGGUGGUUGAGGUUGUUAUUCCUAGCCCGAUCCUAGCUAUCGCCGCGCGUACAUCGCCAUGGUCGACACCCGGUUUGUUGCGGAUGAGGGGGACGCUGACGUGGUGGGACCCGGAGGUAAGUAGCAGGACCAGUGAAUGGGCAUGAUCGGCUGUGAGGAUGACAACGGGGCCCACAAUUCAGCCACGGGAUGGUCGCGCACAUGGAGAGACGUGGGCGCGGGGAGAGGCUGACGGGCUGGGUCUGGUGGAGCGGAAUGAAUAUUGGGCCAAACGGGUGGCUUUCGCCCCAGGCGGUUUAUCCUUUACUUUUUCCUUUUUCAAUUUGUUUCUAUUUCCUAUUCAUCUUUUCUAUCAAGGUUUAGAAUUCAGAUUUAAAUAUGAUGUGACAUCCGAAUUCAAAUCAAAUGCAACAAGGAAUACCAACAUGGUGCAGAUUUACUUUAUUUUUUAAUUAUUAGUUUCUUUAAUCAAGCCUAAUAUUUUGUUAUGCAUAAAGAAAGAAGAAUAAUAAUACUAAUAAUAAUCAUAAUCAUAAUCAUCAUAAUUAUCAUCAUCAUCAUAAUUAUCAUCAUCAUCACAUAGACCUUUAUAAUUCUCAAGACUUAUUUCUUUUACUUCCAAAAGUUUGGGUAUUACAGUGGAGGAUGGGGUGUCGUGAAGGGGGCGGGGGACACCAAGAAGGGGUGGGUGUAACGCCCCGAAUUUCAGAGUUGAAUUUUUUUUCUUUCUCCAUCACUCGCCAAAUUCGGGCGUUACCUUUCCUCUUUCUUUUUCUUCUCGCUAAGCCUUGUACAUUUUCAAAGUUCUAGCGAGAUUUAGCUCGAGACCUUGUGUGAGUAAACCCUAGAAAUAUUUUCCUUGGUUGUUGCAUCAUGCUGGACCAUGAUUUUCUUGCUUGUGGUUGAGUGAUUUGUGAAGAGUAUUCUUGGAGUGGAGGUUAGAACUAAAUAGGGAAAAUGGAUAAUAGGUAAAUAAUAAGAAAAUAGAAAAGGAAAAUCUCUCCCUCUCUCCUUUCAACCCAGCCGCGGCCUACUUCCCUCCCCCCUGCGACCCGGCCUAGCGCGCGACCUACCCCCCCCCCCCCACUUUCCCUUGGGCCGGCUGGCUGGCGCGACCCAGCUCGGUGGCCCAACCGGCUCCCCCACGUUCCUCGCGCGCGGGUGGUUACAGCCGCCACCGCCGCUCUAGUGGGGCCCACCCAUCAUUGCCUAGUCGCCCCCUGUUCAUCUCCCUUCUCCCUCCCACGUCGCCCAGUGCCUUCUCACUCCUCCACCUCGCCCACGCCGCUCGGAACCACCGCCAUCGCGCCCGUAUGCGCCGUCGUCGCUCCCUGAGGUGAGCUCGCCCCGUCUUCCCUUCCCCAUCCCCCUCCUCCCUGUGCCCGCGGCACGGCUUGGAGCUCGGCCCGGCGCGCGGCCCCCGCUCUAGCUCAAAACUUAAAGCCACAAAACUUGAUUAAGUAUUAGCACAAUUAAAUCAAGUGACUAAGGAGAGCUCUUGUGAAACACAAUUGACACAGUGAGAACAAGCACAAGAGACACAAGGAUUUAUCCCAUGGUUCGGCCAAGUAUAACACUUGCCUAGUCCACGUUGUGGCGUCCCAAUGGACGAGAGUUGCACUCAACUCCUCUCAAGUGAUCCAAUGAUCAACUUGAAUACCACAGUGUUCUUCUUUCUUUAAUCUUUCCCGUUUGCAAGGAAUCUCCACAACUUGGAGUCUCUUGCCCUUACAAUAAGAAUCAAGGUGAAAGCACUAGAGUAAGGGAGGGAAGCAACACACUCAAAUCCACAGCAAAUACGCACACACACAGCCAAGAAUUGAGCUCAAAUGAGUAUCACAAAGUUCACCACUAGAACGGAGCUCAAAUCACUAAGAAUGUUCGAGUGCGCAAAGUCGGAGUGAGAAUGAUCAAGAAUGCUCAAAGUAUGCUUGGUGUACUCCUCCAUGCGCCUAGGGGUCCCUUUUAUAGCCCCAAGGCAGCUAGGAGCCGUUGAGAGCAAUCCAGGAAGGCUAUCCUUGCCUUCUGUCGGUUGGUGCACCGGACAGUCCGGUGCACCACCGGACACUGUCCGGUGCUGAUUUGUUUCCUGUUCUGGUGCAGCCGACCGUUGAAGUUUUGGAGCCGUUGGCGCACCAGACACUGUCCGGUGCUCCCAUCAGACCGUUGGCUCGGCCACGCGUCACGCGCGGAUUGCGCAGCCGACCGUUGGCAUGGCCGAUCGUUGGCUCACCGGACAGUCCGGUGCACCACCGGACAGUCCGGUGAUUUAUAGCCGUAUGCCGCCGUUCAGUUCCCGAGAAUGGCCAGUUGAUCAGCGCCAGCCUGGCGCACCGGACACUGUCCGGUGCACCACCGGACAGUCCGGUGCACCCAGACUGAGCAGAGUCUUGGCUGCUUCAGCCAAGACAUUUUCCUUUUGUCUUUUCUCUGAUUCUAGCACUUAGACAAAUAUGUUAGUGCACAAAAACCAAUUUACUAAGUCUAGAAUCAUACCUUUGUAUUGAUUUGCACUUUGUCCACCAUUUGGCAUAGUUUAACACAUAACCAUUUGUGUUGGCACUUAAUCACCAAAAUCCUUAGAAAUGGCCCAAGGGCACAUUUCCCUUUCAUGGCCCCUGCCCCGGUUCGGCGCUCGCGUGGCCCCCUGCCCUGGCCGACACGGCCCUCUGGCCGAUGCGGAUGGCCCGGCGCGGCCCUCCCUUUCAUCCCUCGUGCCCCCGGCGUGGCGCGCUCGCUGCUCGCGUCUGUGGCGCGGCCCCGGCGUGGCACGCUCGCGACUCCUGCGCGGCGUGGAGCGCCCCUGGCGUCCCAGCUCGCCCGCGGCGCUCUCGCGGUAGCCUGCGCGGCUUGCUCGCCGUGGCCUGCAUGGCGCAUGGCCAGCCCGUCCGCGGCGUGCUCGCUGCUGCGGCCCGCGGCCUCCUUGCGGCGUCCUGCGCAGCGCGCGCGGCUAGCCCGUCCCCGGCUCGCCUGCAACGGCCUGCGUGGAGCAUGGCCAACUCGUUCGCGCGGCCGAGCCCUCCAUGGUCUACUCGGCUAGGAGAGGACGAGUCCACUAUUUUAUCAUCUUUCAUUAGUUUAUUUGUUAGACUCGUAAAAAGGAACCCCAAUGAACCACGUAAAGAAAUUUAGGAUGUUUACAAGCCUCGGCGAUCUCAUUUACUAGCCAUGUAGUCUAUGUCUGAUGGUUACAUACUUCUUCAUGCGUCAUUAACCGAUUUCGGUUUACUCCUGUCAUGAUAGGUUUAUGAUAAAUUGACAAUAUCAUUCACAUACUAGUAGUAUAGCUUAUCGCAGUAUAUGCUUUCGAUAAUUAUUCAAUUAAUUGUUGAUCCAAUAAUUAAUAAAGUAGUGCUUAGGCGAGGAUUAGUUUACAAUCUGAAGCUACGCUAGGUGAGUAUACGUGAGUGUAAAUAGACCAUUUCGGGUGUUUAUGUUUAAUAUUCGUUAGAUAUAAAUGUGUUGUCAAGUUAGUAAUUCUUGCGAGUCGCCUGUGCUGUUUCGCGGACGCUAGUUUCGCAUGGUCGUAAGCGCGAGCUUUAUGUCAUGUGCGCGUGUAACUGAUUUGUUUCCUUAUAUGGUGUAUUGUUCCUUUUCUGAUUUAAGAUGUGAAUGUAUGUUUGCACUCGCAUAGAGAACGUUCUGGUUGAGGAGUUCGAAGAACUCGCAGGAGAAGAUCCUGAGCAGCAGCUGGUUGGUGGAUGCAAGUGUCCCUUGACCCACUUGUGUCCUAUAUAUUCCUUAAUUCACUUUCCACAUUUACACAGUUUAUACCUAAGGAUUGACUAGCUUUUGUUAUCCAUGUCCUUGCUUACCUAUCUAGGUCAGAUUAUUUUGGUUUAGCUACAUGCUAGCGCUUCACAUUAAUCAAUGAACAUGAUGAGAUUUAUCUAUGAUAAGUUGUUUUCCUUCUUAUUUAUGAUGAUAUACUUGUGGCAUUUAAGGUGACUCGAGCGGUUUCUCGAGUGCCUCUCCGUAAGGACCUGUUCGUUGGAUGACCGCCCGGGAAAACAAUGCAACCAUGAGGGUAGAAUGGGACGCCCUUAGCUGAAUAAUUAGAGAAACCGGGGUGUAGUUCGCUUAGCUGUCGUGCCGUUAAUGGGGCUCGAUGUAUGCGGCUCGCUCUACCAAGGUUGGUUCGCCCCUUGGGGAGGAGUGCGGUGCAUUUAGGAAACCUAACGGGCGGCUACAGCCUCGGGAAAUCUUUGUAAAGGCUACGUAGUGAUACCCUGCUGGGUCACCUUGGUAGUGAUCAAUGGAGAGUCAUGAUCUCCGGGCCGAAAGGGAAUCACGGCUUGUGGGUAAAGUGUGCAACCUCUGCAGAGUGUUUGAAAACUGAUAUAUCAGUCGUGCUCGCGGUUAUGAGCGGUCAAGGGAGCUCCAUUGAUUAGUGAUACUUGAUCAGAGGUGUUCGGAUUACAAGUGGUGAUGAGAAUGAUGGUUUUGGUAUUGACCAUGGUAAUGGUAAGUGGUAUUCUUUCCGUUUGGAAAGGGUACUUUUGGGUUAACAACUUGGGUUAAUACUAAAAUCUGGCUCUCUGUACUAGUAAUAAUAAUCUGACCAACUAAAAGCAACUCCUUGACUUACCUCCACAUAAAGCUAGUCCACUACAGCCAAACAGGACACUUGCUGAGUAUGUUGAUGUGUACUCACCCUUGCUCUACACACCAAACCCCCCCUUCCCCAGGUUGUCUGCGUUGCAACCACUGCUCAGGAGAAGAUGAAGCUGUGGAAGGAGACUUACAGGAGUUCCAAGAUUACGACGAGUUUAUGCGUGGGUUAGCGGCAACCCCCAGUCGGCUGCCUGUAAAGGCCGCGUGUAUCUACGUUUCAUUUUUCGCACUUUGAUUAUUGUAAAGAUGUCGGGUACCGUAAUUAUGGGUACCCCCAACACUCCUAAACACGGCUGGUAACCACCAUCAGCACAAGCUGCAGAGACUGAUGGGCACGAUUCAGGUCAAGGCUUCGUCUACUCAAGGGACGCGAUCUCGCCUCGCCCGAGCCCAGCCUCGGGUGGGAACAGUAGUCCCGGACGAAUUCUCGCCUCGCCCGAGGGCCUCCUCAAAGCAACUGGCGCACCCUCGACUCGCCCGACGUCCGGCUCGAGCAGGCUUCGUAGUGAAGCAACCUUGGCCAAAUCGCCUCACCAACCGACUGUAUCGCAGGCGCAUUCAAUGCGAGGAUCGCCUGACGCCUUAUCCUGACACACGUGCCUCAGUCGGCAAGGUCGAAGUGACCGCAGUCACUUCGCCCUUCCACUGACCGACCUGACAGGAAAACAGCGUCGCUCGCCCCGCUCCGACUGUUGUGCCACCCGCCAGAGUGAGGCUGGCAACAGCCAAGUUCAGCCUCAGGCGCAACAGGAAGCUCCGCCUUGCCCGACCCCAGGGCUUGGCCUCAACCUCGGCCUCGGAAGGAGGACUCCGCCUUGCCCGACCCUAGGGCUCAGCCUCAACCUCGGCCUCGGAAGGAGGACUCCGCCUCGCUCGACCCCAGGGCUCGGCCUCAGCCUCGGCCUCAGAGGGUGGUCUCCGCCUCGCCCGACCCCAGGGCUCGGUCUCAACCUCGACCUCGGGAGGAAUCGCGUCCUCGCCCGACCCUGACCUCGGCCUCAGGAGGAGUCUCCGCCUCGCCCGACCUUGGGCUCGGACCGACCACGCCACGGAGGAUACAUCAUUACCCUACCCCUACCUAGCUCAGGCUAUGGGGGAACAAGACCGGCGUCCCAUCCAGACUCGCCCCGGUAACAAGUAAUGAUGGCUCCCCGCGUGCGUCCAUGACGACGGUGGUUCUCAGCCCCCUACGGAAGCAAGGAGACGUCAGCAAGGUCCCAGCAGCCCCGACAGCUGUGCUUCUACAGGGCUCAAGCACUCCUCCGACGGCCACGACACCGCGUACACAGGGCUCUAGCACCUCUCCGACAACCACGUUGGCAUGUACACAGGGCCCAGGCACCUCUCUGCCGGACACGUUAGCGCAUAGCUACACCCCCAUUGUACACCUGGACCCUCUCCUUGCAUCUAUAAAAGGAAGGUCCAGGGCCCUCAUGCGGGAGGGUCGCGCGGGAGGACGGGCUGACGAACAAGCUCACUCUCUCUCCCUCGCGAAUGCUUGUAACCCCUAUUGCAAGCGCAUCCCCCUGGCGCAGGAUAACACGAGCCGCGUUCCCCUCCCCCUUGUGUUCCAUCUCGCGCCAACCCAUCUGGGCUAGGACACGCAGCGACAAUUUUACUCGUCGGUCCAGGGACCCCCCGGGGUCGAAACGCCGACAGUUGGCGCGCCAGGUAGGGGCCUGCUGCGUGUUGACGAACAACUUCCCGUUGAGUUCCAGAUGGGUAGUCUCCAGCAACCUCUUCAGCCCGGGACGCUGCUCCGCUUCGGGAGCCUCGAGUUCAUGUCCCAGUCCCUGCGGGGGGUCAGGACACACAGCUCAAGAAAAUUCGCGAGAUGCAGGCCAAGCUCGACGAGGAAGCAGGGCAACUUGUGCAGCUCUGGCAAAACAUCGAGCAGGAGUGGGCAGGCCGAGCACUCGCCGGAGAAGCGCGUCAUCAGGCCCGGGAAGUCCAGCAUCGUAUCGCUGACGAUGCCAGGGCAAGGCUGCCCCCGGCUUCCAGUGUGGUCGGCCAGAAUCUGGCUGUAGCGGCAAUACUGCUCCGAGCGAUGCCGGAGCCGUCCACCACCGAGGGGCAGCAUAUCCAAGGAGAACUCAAGAAUCUCCUGGAGGACGCCGUGGUCCGACGGGCCAAGAGCUCUCCUCCCGAAGGCAAGGGUGCCCCCCAGAGCAUCGUGCAGCAACUUCCUGAUUCAUGCGGGAGGCCUCGGUCCACACCGGGCGCACGCGGGACGCAACGCCUGCGGCCCCGGGUUGCCUCGACAAUGAGCACCACCGCCGCGACCGUCGAGCCCGCCUCGACGAGAAGGUGCACCGAGGCUACCACCCCAGGCGUGGGGGACGUUACGACAGCGAGGAGGAUCAGAGCCCCUCGCCCGAACCACCUGGUCUGCAAGCCUUCAGCCGGGCCAUACGACGGGCGCCGUUCCCGACCCGGUUCCGAGCCCCGACUACUAUCACCAAGUACUCGGGGGAAACAAGGCUGGAACUAUGGCUUGCGGACUACCGGCUAGCCUGCCAGCUAGGUGGAACGGACGAUGACAACCUCAUCAUCCGCAACCUCCCCUGUUCCUCUCCGACGCCGCCCGAGCCUGGCUGGAGCAUCUGCCUCCUGCGCAGAUCUCCAACUGGGACGACCUGGUCAAAGCCUUCGCUGGAAACUUCCAGGGCACGUACGUGCGCCCUGGGAACUCCUGGGAUCUCCGAAGCUGCCGCUAGCAACCAGGGGAAUCCCUGCGAGAGUACAUCCGGCGGUUUUCGAAGCAGCGCACCGAGCUGCCCAACAUCACCGACUCGGAUGUCAUCGGGGCGUUCCUCGCCGGCACCACUUGUCGCGACCUGGUGAGCAAACUGGGUCGCAAGACCCCCACCAAGGCGAGCGAGUUGAUGGACAUCUCCACCAAGUUCGCCUCUGGUCAGGAGGCGGUUGAAGCCAUCUUCCGGAAGGACAAGCAGCCUCAGGGACGCCAGUAGGAAGACGUCCUCGAGGCGUCCGCCCAACGCAGCACGAAGAAGAAGGCCAAGAAGAAGUCGCAAGCAAAGCGCGACGCCGCCGAUGCAGAUCUUGUCGUUGCCACCGAGCGCAGGAACCCUCAGAAGCCUCCUAGAGGGGCCAGCCUGUUCGACAAGAUGCUCAAGGAGUCGUGCCCCUAUCACCAGGGCCCCGUCAAGCACACCCUUGAGGAAUGCGUCAUGCUUCGGCGCUACUUCCAUAAGGCCGGGCCCCCGGCGGAAGGUCGCAAAGGCCAAGGCAACGACAAGAAGGAGGGCGACAAGGCAGAGGAGUUCCCCGAGGUCCACGGUUGUUUCAUGAUCUACGGUGGGCGAGUGGCGAACGCCUUGGCUCGGUACCGCAAGCAGGAGCACCGGGAGGUCUGCUCGGUAAAGGUGGUGGCGCCAGUCUACCUAGACUGGUCCAACAAGCCCAUCACCUUCGACCAAGGCAACCACCCCGACUGCGUGCCGAGCCCAGGAAAGUACCCGCUCGUUGUCGACCCCGUCAUCGGCAACGUCAGGCUCACCAAGGUCCUCAUGGACGGAGGCAGCAGCCUCAACAUCAUCUAUGUCAAGACCCUCGGGCUCUUGGAAAUCGAUCUAUCCACGAUCCGGGCCGGUGCGGCGCCCUUUCACGGGAUCAUCCCCGGGAAGCGCGUCCAGCCCCUUGGACAACUCGAUCUGCCCAUCUGCUUCGGAACUCCCUCCAACUUCCGCAGGGAAACCCUCACGUUCGAGGUGGUCAGGUUCCGAGGAACCUACCACGCGGUGCUAGGGAGAUCAUGCUACGCCAAGUUCAUGGUUGUCCCCAACUACACCUACCCCAAGCUCAAGAUGUCGGGCCCCAACGGGGUCAUCACCGUCGGAUCCACAUACCGACACGCGUACAAAUGCGACGUGGAGUGCGUGGAUUACGCUGAGGCCCUCGCCGAGUCUGAGGCCCUCAUCGCCGACCUGGAGUGCCUCUCCAAGGAGGUGCCUGAUGCAAAGCGCCACGCCGGCAACUUUGAGCCAGCUGAGGCGGUUAAGUCCGUCCCUCUCGACCCCAGCAAUGACGCCUACAGGCAAGUCCGGAUCGGCUCCAAGCUCGACCCCAAAUAGGAAGCAGUGCUCGUCGACUUGCUCCGCGUAAACACCAAAGUUUUUGCGUGGAGUCCCUCGGACAUGCCUGGCAUACCGAGGGAUGUCGUCGAGCACUCGCUGGAUAUCUGAGCUGGAGCCCGACCCGUGAAGCAGCCUCUGGGCCGUUUCGACGAAGAAAAAGCAGAGCCAUAGGCGAGGAGAUCCACAAGCUGAUGGCUGCAGGGUUCAUCAAAGAGGUAUUCCAUCCUGAAUGGUUAGCCAACCCUGUGCUUGUGAAAAAGAAAGGUGGGAAAUGGAGGAUGUGUGUAGACUACACUGGUCUAAACAAAGUAUGUCCGAAGGUUCCCUACCCUCUGCCUCGCAUCGAUCAAAUUGUGGAUUCCACUGCUGGGUGCGAAACCUUGUCAUUCCUCGACGCCUACUCAGGGUAUCACCAAAUCAAGAUGAAAGAGUCCGACCAGCUCGUGACUUCUUUCAUCACACCUUUUGGCAUGUACUGUUAUACUACUAUGCCAUUUGGCUUGAGGAAUGCAGGUGCGACAUACCAAAGGUGCAUGAACCACGUGUUCGGAGAGCACAUCAGCCGAACGGUCGAGGCUUACGUCGAUGACAUCGUAGUCAAGACGAGGAAAGCCUUUGACCUUGAAACGACGUUCAAGUGUCUGAGAGCGAAGGGCGUGAAGCUCAACCCCGAGAAGUGUGUCUUCGGAGUCCCCUGAGGCAUGCUCCUGGGGUUCAUCGUCUCCGAGCGGGGCAUCGAGACCAACCCGGAGAAAAUCGCGGCCAUCACCAACAUGGGGCCUAUCAAAGAUUUGAAAGGAGCACAUAGGGUCAUGGGAUGCCUUGUGGCUCUGAGCCGCUUCAUCUCGCGCUUCGGUGAAAAAGGCCUACCCUUGUACCGCCUCUUAAGGAAGACCGAGCACUUCACUUGGACCCCCGAGGCCGAGGAAGCCCUCGGAAACUUAAAGGCACUCCUUACAAACGCGCCCAUCUUGGUGCCCCCCGCCGCGGGAGAAGCCCUCUUGAUCUACGUAGCCGCAACCACUCAGGUGGUCAGCGCCGCGAUCGUAGUCGAGAGACAAGAAGAAGGGCAUGCACUGCUCGUCCAGAAGUCGGUCUACUUCAUCAGUGAAGUGCUAUUCGGGACCAAGAUCCGCUACCCGCAAAUUCAGAAGCUACUGUACGCAGUAAUUCUGACCCGGCAAAAGUUGCGACACUACUUCGAGUCUCAUCCGGUGACUGUGGUGUCAUCCUUCCCCCUGGGGGAGAUCAUCCAGUGCCAAGAGGCCUCGGGUAGGAUAGCAAAGUGGGCGGUGGAGAUCAUGGGCGAGACAAUCUCGUUCGCUCCUCGGAAGGCCAUCAAGUCCCAAGUCUUGGCGUACUUCGUGGCUGAAUGGGUCGACACCCAGCUACCAACAGCUUCGAUCCAACCGGAACUCUGGACCAUGUACUUCGAUGGGUCGUUGAUGAAAACAGGAGCCGACGCGGGCUUGCUCUUCAUCUCACCCCUUGGGAAACAUCUCCGCUACGUGUUGUGCCUCCAUUUCCUGGCGUCAAACAACAUGGCCGAGUACGAGGCUCUGGUUAACGGGUUGUGCAUCGCCAUUGAGCUAGGGGUUCGGCGCCUCGACGCUCGUGGCGACUCGCAGCUUGUCAUUGACCAAGUCAUGAAGAACUCCCACUGCCGCGACCGGAAGAUGGAGGCCUACUGCGAUGAAGUUCGGCGCCUGGAAGACAAGUUCUACGGGCUCGAGCUCAACCACGUCGCUCGACGGUACAACGAGACUGCGGAUGAGCUGGCUAAAAUAGCCUCGGGGUGGACAACGGUUCCCCCGGACGUCUUCUCCAGAGACAUACAUCAACCCUCCGCCAAGACCGAUGUAAGGAAAAUGGACCCCGGGCCAUUCGGUUAAUUGAGUUUUGGUGUUUGAUGAACAACACAAUCCGUGAACUAAUAAGUUUUCUAGUGUUUGUGUUUAUAGUUCACAGGAUGCGAAGAGAAUUGGACCAAGGCAAUGAGGAUGCAACACCUCAAAAGAAGACAUAAAAAGAUACAUAGGAGUCCAAUACUCAAAGAACAAAGAAGCCCGAAGAAAUCAGCGAAGAAAUCCAAGAUGAGGGCUGUCAGCCAGCGCCUGGUGGCGCACCGGACAUUGGUGUCCAGUGUGCACCGGACUGUCCGGUGAGGCACCGGACAGUCUGCACAGAGAGGCCGCAGACAGGCGCUCUCUGGCUGUAGCACCGGACUGUCCGGUGUGCACCGGACUGUCCGGUGUGCCAACGGGCAGACGGCAACGGUCGGAUCCAACGGUCGACUGCUACAGGCGCCAACGGUCGGCUGACGUGGCGUGCACCGGACAUCUACUGUGCAGUGUCCGGUGGUGCACCGGACUGUCCGGUGCACCCGACGAUAGAAAGCUGCUGCUUUCUGUCCAACGGCUAGUUGGGGGUGUGGAGGCUAUAAAUACCACCCCAACCGGCCAUUCUCAUGUGUGGGAGCCCAAGCAACAUACCAAGGCAUAUAGUCCACAUUUCCAAGAGCUCAAACACCCAAGUGCUUAAUAGAAUCACUCGGUGAUUAGCGUAGGUGCUUUGCGAAGUGCUUAGGUUAGUUAGACCGCUUUAGCGCUUGCUCUAGGUGAACCCUAGUUAGUUGAGUGAGUUUUGUAAAACCACACAACCCCUCGGCUCUUGCGUGAGUCGUUGUAAUUGUACCGAGUGGGGCGAGAGUCUUGCGAGACCGUGACAACCGCGUUUGUGUCACGGCCGCCACCGUGUACCGGAGGGAACGAGGCCCGCGGCGUUUCGGCCGGAAGCUCGAUAGUGGAGACGGCGGGGAGCGUCCGAGAGGAGCCGGAAGCGGAGCACCACUUGCGCGUGGAGAAGGCCCGUGGCUCUCUAUGGAGUUACUCGACCGUGGUGCUUGGCCCUCGCGUGGGCUUCCCUUUGCGUAGGGGCACCAACGAGGAUUAGUCGGAACCUUGCGUGGUUCCGGAUACCUCGGUAAAAAUACCGGCGUCAUCCACGAGAGUUUGCUUCUCUACUUAGCUCUUUACAUUCCGCAUUUAUAUUAAGCAUUUAAGUUUCAAUCUUAUUGUCAUACUUAUUUAGUGUAGAUUGAAACUUAGCCUUUGCGGUAGAGAUAGCAACACUUAGACAAAACCUAGUUUGCACACUCUAGUUUGAUUACUUGCAAAGGUUUUGCUCUAGGGAUUUAAUUGUGGCCUAGUUUAGUAAAAGUUUUGGAAGUCCUAAUUCACCCCCCCCCUCUUAGGCGUCACCCGUUUCCUACAAGUGGUAUCAAGGCCCGGUUUGGCUCAUUUGAAACGCUUUAGCUUCACCGCUAAAAGAGCCGACGCUUUUUAGAGGAAGGGAUGGAUACCCAUAGGCCACCACACUUUGACGGCACUAACUUCCCAUAUUAUAGUGCUAGAAUGGCUUGUUACCUAGAGGGCGUUGAUCUAGGUGUUUGGAGAGUCACUCGUGACGGGAUGAAACCCCUCAAGAAUCCUGAGAAACCCACCACGAGUGAGGAAAAAGAAAUCCAUUUAAAUGCUAGAGCCAAAAAUUGCUUGUAUGAAUCUCUUAGCAUGGAUAUUUUCAAUCAAGUAUUUACUCUGAAAACUGCUAAUGAGAUUUGGCUAAAAUUGCAUGAGCUCCAUGACGGCACAUCCAAUGUCCGUGAGCAAAAACAUUGCCUAGUCUUAAAUGAGUAUAAUUCUUUUGCUAUGAAAGAUGAUGAGCUUGUUAGAGACAUGUAUUCUCGUUUGAAUCUAAUUAUCAAUGAGCUCAAUUCGAUUGGCAUUAAUAAGCUAGGUGAUGCGGACAUUGUGAGGAAGAUUAUCUCCCUGCUACCACAACAAAGAUAUGGGAGCAUCAUCACCAUCCUUCACAACAUGGAGGACUUGAGCAACAUGACCCCGACCAUCGUGAUUGGGAAAAUCGCGGCUUUUGAGAUGUCGCGAAAAAUGAGUCGGGGAGAGGAGCCAACUUCCUCAAAGCCAUAUGCUUUUGCAUGUGAUGAAAGGAAGGGCAAAAAGAAGGCUCCCACUCCAAGUUCCUCAAGUGAAGAAGAAGAAGAAGAAGAAAGUGAUGAUGAUGAAGAUAAUCAACCAUGCACAUCAUCCUCCGAGGACGAAGAAACAAUCCGACGCGUCGGAAAGGUAAUGAGGAUGAUUCGCAAGAUUAAUCUAAUGGGUGUGCCCCUGCAGGUCGAGGAUCUUCUCUUUAACAUUGACAGGAAAAAGCAAAGGAAGAGAGGAUGCUUCGCAUGUGGGGAGAAGGGCCACUUCAGGGACAACUGUCCAAAUAUGGCCAAACCCAAAAAGGAGAGGAGCAAAGGCAAGGCGCUCACAAGUGUUAGAACUUGGGAUGACUCUUCAAGUGAAGAUGAACCUCCAAGGACGCGCAGCCACCGGUCCUCGUCACGAUCAUCACGGUCAUCACACAAAUGCCUUAUGGCAAGAGGUAACAAAAGCAUUCCAUCCUCUAGUGAUGAAAGCAGUAGUGAUGAUGAAGGUGAGGGAAAGGCCUCUCUAGAAGAGCUUGCGGAAGCCGUAAAUUUUUUCUAGGAUGUUUGCACUAAGCAAAAAGCUCAACUUAAAACUUUGAAAAAUAAGUUGAUUAGCUCUCAAAAUGAUUACAAAGGCUUGCUAGAAAAAUUUGAAACUUUUGCAAACUUAAAUAGUGAGCUAUCAACUAAAAUUGAGCUAUUAGAGUCUAGUGCUUCAUCCACUGCUACCGAUGAUAGCCUUAUUAAAAAGAAUGAAAAACUUAAGGCUAAGUUAGCUAGCUCCCAAGAAGCUAUUGAAAAUUUGCUAGAGAAAAUGGAAAUUCUUAGCAUACACAAUAAUGAGCUAACUACUAAGCUAGAAAACAUUGGUAGCACCCCAGCAGCAUCUUUAGUUGAAAUACCUGAAAUAAUUAAGAAAGAUGCUUCUACUUCCUGCUUUGAUUUAAUUGAUGAUUCUAACCCCUGCAACCAAGUCGUUGUUGAGAAUAUUGUUAUAGAGACAUGUUCGGAUGAGGUUGCAAAGGAAAAUGAACAAUUAAAGCAAGAAGUGGCUCGCCUUGGCAAGGCUUUGUAUGACAAGAAAGGCAAAGCCAAACAAAUCCGACCUCCACAGGAUAACACCACUGCGGGAGUGAACAAGUCUAUGGAGGGAGAAACUGUGAUUUGUAGGCUAUGCCACAAGGAAGGCCACAAGUCUUUCCAAUGCAAGGCGAUGACCGGGGAUAAACAAAGGCAAAAGCUCAAGCAAAAGCCAUCAGGCAAAAUCACCAACACCUACAUCAAAAAGGUGAACAAAAAGGAUGCUACACCAUAUUUGAUCAAGAAGAAAAAGAACGGAAAGGUGAUAGCAAUCAAGGCCAACAAGCAAGCCAACAAAGGAAAGGGGGCCAAACGCAUCUGGGUGCCAAAGGAGAUAAUUUCAACCAUGAAAAGCACCAAGAAGGUUUGGAUCCCAAAAGGGAAGUGAGUGGACCUAAGGUCGUCGGGAAAUUUGGAGACUUGGCAAAAUUGGGAUGUAUAUCAUGGGAUACAUCAUAUUGGAUCAAGUUUAUUGCCAAGUGGGUUAGUAAAAAUUUUGGACCCAAAUUUCCCACCCAUGACUAAGGUAACUAGUUUUAUUAUAUUUCUCGUUUUUAGAUAUGCGUAUCUAUUUAUCUUUUAUCUAGUUUACCUUUCUUGCCUAGUAUUACAUUUGUUAUGUACUUUUGUUCAAAAUCAUGCAUACUAGGUAAAUCAUAUGGUAGGAUUGCUAGUUUUUAAAUUCAUAUACUUAAGCAAACCUACAUGGCUUAAAAUGUUUAGUUAAAGCACGGCACAUAGCUUUUAUAUCACUCCAUAGUAAAUGAUGCAUCAAUUGAAAAUUUUGAUUUCUACAAAGUGUAUCAUUUAACUUAUAUGUGCCAAAGUUUGGAUUAUGGAUAAUUUGCCCCUCUUGAUAUCAAAUCAAAGUGCAUGUCUCCUACAAGUAUUCAAAACUUAUAUGCACACCUUUAGGGGGAGGUUACUCUAUAAUCUAACACUUUGAGACUAACACCUUUUCAAGUCUAUUUCAUGUGAUAGUCUCAUUGUAAGGAAAAUAAGGUCCCCGGAGAAAGACAACAAUCUUCCACUGCAAAAUCUCCAAGAACUCUCAUGUCUCUCAAGCUCGCCAUUGAUCUUCAAUUGGUAUCUUUUGAGACUACAUUCAAUAUCAUUUACAUGUCUUCUCCAAUAUUUGAUUAGACUAUAUUUCAUAUCAUAUGCUUCCAUGUUGCUAAAAAUGCAUAAGUAGUUAACUCAUAUUCUGUUACCUAUGCAUAAGGGAAGUUAGUCUUUUCAAAUCAUGUCUUGCACCUCUAAUUUUCACAUGCUUUUUCCUAAGUAGAGGAUCUCUGUCAAGGGGAGUAUUUCUUCAUCUCUAAAGGGGGAGAAAAACUCUUUCUAAAGGAGACAACUCAUUUAGGGGGAGUAAUCUUUUGAGGACUCCUUCAAGUGGUAUCAUUCACAUAGUUUAAUUUAAUAUCCUUCUAGUGAUAUCAUUUGAUACAAUUCUUGAUGAGGGCAAGCUUUUAUUUACUUCCUACAUGCUUUUAAUGUCUUCCUUUUCGGUGGUUGAUGCCAAAGGGGGAGAAGUUUAGGGACCAAAGCAAUGAAAACUAUAUCAAACACCAAACACCACCAAUUUAAAAUUUUAUAUCUACAAAUGGCUUUUCAAGUGGUUCUGGUUAUUUGGUCCAAGUGGUUCUGGUUAUUUGGUCCAAAAAUAGGAAGUAAGUGAAUUAUGGAGUUAGGGGGAGGCUUAAGUCCAUAAUAUCACAUUGUGGGGACAAUCAUGCAUCUUAGCAAGUAAAAUGCAUAUUUUCAUUCAAACACUUGUAAUAUUUGCUUGCUUUGGUUGUGUUGUCAUCAAUCACCAAAAAGGGGGAGAUUGUAAGGAAAAUGGACCCCGGGCCAUUCGGCUAAUUGAGUUUUGGUGUUUGAUGAACAACACAAUCCGUGAACUAAUAAGUUUUCUAGUGUUUGUGUUUAUAGUUCACAGGAUGCGAAGAGAAUUGGACCAAGGCAAUGAGGAUGCAACACCUCAAAAGAAGACAUAAAAAGAUACAUAGGAGUCCAAUACUCAAAGAACAAAGAAGCCCGAAGAAAUCAGCGAAGAAAUCCAAGAUGAGGGCUGUCAGCCAGCGCCUGGUGGCGCACCGGACUGUCCGGUGAGGCACCGGACAGUCUGCGCAGAGAGGCCGCAUACAGGCGCUCUCUGGCUGUAGCACCGGACUGUCCGGUGUGCACCGGACUGUCCGGUGUGCCAACGGGCAGACGGCAACGGUCGGAUCCAACGGUCGACUGCUACAGGCGCCAACGGUCGGCUGACGUGGCGUGCACCGGACAUCUAUUGUGCAGUGUCCGGUGGUGCACCGGACUGUCCGGUGCACCCGACGACAGAAAGCUGCUGCUUUCUGUCCAACGGCUAGUUGGGGGUGUGGAGGCUAUAAAUACCACCCCAACCGGCCAUUCUCAUGUGUGGGAGCCCAAGCAACAUACCAAGGCAUAUAGUCCACAUUUCCAAGAGCUCAAACACCCAAGUGCUUAAUAGAAUCACUCGGUGAUUAGCGUAGGUGCUUUGCGAAGUGCUUAGGUUAGUUAGACCGCUUUAGCGCUUGCUCUAGGUGAACCCUAGUUAGUUGAGUGAGUUUUGUAAAACCACACAACCCCUCGGCUCUUGCGUGAGUCGUUGUAAUUGUACCGAGUGGGGCGAGAGUCUUGCGAGACCGUGACAACCGCGUUUGUGUCACGGCCGCCACCGUGUACCGGAGGGAACGAGGCCCGCGGCGUUUCGGCCGGAAGCUCGAUAGUGGAGACGGCGGGGAGCGUCCGAGAGGAGCCGGAAGCGGAGCACCACUUGCGCGUGGAGAAGGCCCGUGGCUCUCUACGGAGUUACUCGACCGUGGUGCUUGGCCCUCGCGUGGGCUUCCCUUUGCGUAGGGGCACCAACGAGGAUUAGUCGGAACCUUACGUGGUUCCGGAUACCUCGGUAAAAAUACCGGCGUCAUCCACGAGAGUUUGCUUCUCUACUUAGCUCUUUACAUUCCGCAUUUAUAUUAAGCAUUUAAGUUUCAAUCUUAUUGUCAUACUUAUUUAGUGUAGAUUGAAACUUAGCCUUUGCGGUAGAGAUAGCAACACUUAGACAAAACCUAGUUUGCACACUCUAGUUUGAUUACUUGCAAAGGUUUUGCUCUAGGGAUUUAAUUGUGGCCUAGUUUAGUAAAAGUUUUGGAAGUCCUAAUUCACCCCCCCCCCUCUUAGGCGUCACCCGUUUCCUACAACCGACGACACGCCUGAGCCCGACGAGGCCUCGGCCGCUGAGGGUGAGGCACUGCGCGUCGAGGAAGAGCAGAAUGGGGUCACGUCUAAUCGAAAUUGGUAGACCCCGUACCUGCAAUAUCUCCACCAGGGAGAGCUACCCCUCGACAAGGCCGAAGCUCGGCGACUGGCGCGGCGCGCCAAGUCGUUCAUCUUACUGGGUGAUGAAAAGGAGCUCUACCACCGCAGCCCCUCAGGCAUUCUCCAACGAUGCAUAUCCGUCACCGAAGGACAGGAGCUAUUGCAAGAGAUACACUCAGGGGCUUGCGGUCACCAUGCAGCACCUCGAGCCCUCGUUGGGAACGCCUUCCGACAAGGUUUCUACUGGCCAACCGCGGUGGCCGACGCCACUAGGAUUGUACGGUCCUACCAAGGGUGUCAAUUCUACGUGAGACAGACGCACUUGCCCCCUCAGGCCCUGCAGACAAUACUCAUCACCUGACUAUUUGCUGUGUGGGGUCUGGACCUCGUCGGUCCCUUGUAGAGGGCACCCGGGGGCUUCUCGCACCUGCUGGUCGCCAUCGACAAAUUCUCCAAGUGGAUCGAGGUCCGACCCCUAACAAGCAUCAGGUCCGAGCAGGCGGUGGCAUUUUUCACCAACAUCAUCCAUCGCUUUGGGGUCCCGAACUCCAUCAUCACCGACAAUGGCACCCAGUUCACUCACUACAACAUAUAUGGCCUUCUAUGACAAAUAUUUGAUGACACUAGUUGGAAUUGUCACUACACCGCUCUAUUUAUGACGAUUUUGACGAGACAUAUAUGUUUAAUGACAAAAAAGUAACCAUUGUCAUUAAAACUGUCAUAACUCAUGCUAACAUGCCAUUUGUGACGAUGGUCUAUGACAAUAUGGGUGUGUCAUAAGAAUAAAUCGUCAUAGCUUCCUCUACAUCAUAAUUACGACAAUUGUAUGACAAGUUCAUUCGUCAUUGAUAUGUGAUUAUAUUUUUUAAAAUGAAAUAACAUAUAAUUGAUGUAACGGCAGGUCCACAUCAAGGCUAAAUGGGUUCAACAUGAGGUGUUUAUUAAUGUAACACAUUAAUUUUUUUUUUGAUUUUUCAACUAUUUGUAUUAAAGUACCUCUAGUAGUUAGCUAAUUUGUAGAAUUUUACCUCCCAUCACCUCGAUUAUUAGCCCAUAAUUUAUUAACUUGUCCACGAGGACAAAUCUUUCCGAUAUGCACAUAUGGUCAAAUAUUUGUUUUAUAGAUGCAAAGAGGCAAUGACAACUUUGUUUCACAUCGUAUAAUUCCCAACCUAUCUGGCGUCUUCGAACAAGAGUGGACCUUAAAAAAAAUUUACUUCAAAAGAAAUGCGAGCACAUUUAAAGUGUUUAGGGUCUCAAAAGAUAUUUUUACAUUAAUAGCUAGACCUUAAAUAAUGCUAUUUAGAAAAUAAUUCACAUUAUUAUAAAAUAAAUAGUUGCCGAUCAAGAGAAAACGAGAAAGGGACAAAUAUAUUGGUAUUUUAUUUGGGACCCGAGAGAUAAAGCUCUUUAAUCAUUUAAUUUUUUUUUAUAAAAUAGACUCAACUCCUUGUAAUAGAAUUGUUUGCAUAAAAUAUUAAUUAUAUACAAAGAUGGAAGCGAAGCUCCACAACUAGAAUGGCCACAUUGUCUUAAUUAAUUUAUUUAUUUGCAUAUGUAAAAGUCCUGCACCACAAAGCCCAACCAGAACUCCAUGUCUCCCUUUUUACCGCUGUCGGAUCUAUUUUGAAAGGUUGUGUUUUUAUUAAACCCUAAAACGGGAACUGGGAGGGGAUUAGGGGAUUAAAUCAUCUGGUCCUGUCUUGCACUUUCUAGAACCGGGAGGAGAGCAAGGCAUGCGACGUUUUUCCUACCAAUUGGCUCUCGUCGUACGCCAUCGCUGCAUGAGGUGAGGCCGUGGUGAGGAUCCCGCGCCACCUCGCUCUCGGAUGCCUCCGCCCCGUCCGUUGCAGAUGGCGACUGGCGGCUAGGGUUUUCUGCACGAGGUAAAGAUCUUGCGCCGCCUCAAAUCAGAUUUCUGUUGUGCCCCUUUCUUAGGAUCUGGAUGAGGUAGGCGAGGUAGAGGAGGCCAAAACAUGGGCCAAGGCGGUGAUGCUCCUCAUCAUGUGCGGCGAUCACCACGCAUCUGGCGAGGCCAUCAAGGAUGUGCUUUCAGUCUUUCACCUAGGAGCUUGGCGAUGACUACCAGGUAAACUAAAAAAUACCAACCCUGAGCAUGCAGUUUUGCCAUUACAAACAUGUUUUUUUUUGUUUACAACAAUCUGCUCAUUUUUUCUGUCAAAGCACUCAGUACGUCAAAAAAAAGUAUAGCCUUGAACAUGCAUCCAGAUAUUAUACUAUGUUAUCAUCAUGAAAAUAUGGUUGCCUACAUCUAUUAAUGUGAGGUAAGCUAGAACUAAGUCCUCAUUUGAAACGGUACUCACCUCAAUUUAGUUGUUUUACUUGAGAGCUAUUUAGUUGAAAGACUCAUCACCACACAGUUUAACUAUGAGCAACCUUUAUUUAAUCAUUACAGUCUACGAGUACUUAUUUAGGCUAAGGGUGUUGAGACCUCGGCAUAGUAAAUAGUAAUCUUAGAUAAGUUCAUCUGGUGACUCUAGCAAACUCCUUAUCAUGAUUUAUGGGGUGGAUAGAACAACACAAACCUCUAUAUUAAUUGUAUAUUUUUUAUUAGCAAAGUUGGUAAGAUGGUAAGCUCAUCACGAGAACCCUUCCCAAUGUAUAUAUUUUAUUUGCUAUUAGUUGCCCAUUACUAUUACUAUAUAUUAUAGCGUGGAAAAAAUCCCGUUAACAAAAAAAAAGAAUUUUUGGCAUGGGAUCCAACAAAGCCUCAACUAUCUCACUGACUGGUCGUUGCUUACUUCCUGUUCCACUGCAAAUCGUAAUGGUGCUUACCUAUUUCGUUACAUAACCUCUAUAAUCUAGAAUGUGUUUGAUUGACUGCUUCUAAUUCCCUUUUGCCCUAAAAUUGGUUUAAUGUCUGUCUACUUCAUCUGUGAUGAUUCUGUUUUAUAAGUACGCCAUGCUUCAUUUGGUUCACCAAGUUAUCUGCUGGCGUAAUCUUUUUACUUCCAUGGAUGCGUCUUAUUGCCCGCUCCUAAUACCCUGUUGCCCUAAAAAUUGGUGUUAAUGUUUGCCUGCUUCAUCUGUGAUAAUCCUAUUUUACAAGUAUGUCGUGCUUCAUUUGGUUCAUCAAUUUACCUGCUGUUCUAAUCCUAAGUCACCAUAAUAUCAACAUUGCACAAUAAGUCCUAUGUGAUAUCUGACCAUUUCAUAACAUCAAAAGCCAUUCUUUUUAAACAAUUGCAUUCUACAGCGGUACAGCCUGAAUCAUUCAAUUAAAUUGUUGUACCAUAACUGAUGUUUUGUGCAGAUUCUUUGUUUCGCUAAGUUCAACGAAAUUUUUUUAAGGGGACAAGUAGAGUUGGACAAAAGGGUAAUUCAUUUCAGUUGGUUUUAGUUACUAAAUUAACACCUCAUAAAAAACUUAAACAGAAACAAAUCAAACACAUGUGAGUGCCUUAGGCAUGUCGUCAGUUUAAUUACUUAUAGCAAAAUAAAUGUUUACAUACAUUGCUCUGCAAUUACUAACCUGCCCUUUAAUUGAUCUUGCAUGCUGCGCCACCAAACGGCCGUUAUGAAACUAUGUUUCAUCAAGCUGCACCCAUUUCAACUGCAAGACCAUAUGUUUUAUUUCUUGACAUAUGAUUGUGAUGUCCUAAUUAUUCGUUGAAUUGUAUUUAUUUUUGUUAUUGACGCAUGUUACUUGAGGACUGCUUCAUUUACUGUUUUAUUUAAAUGUUUUAUCACUAUUUAUAUCUAAAAUGUAUUUUGAAUUGUUAUUUUGAAAUCUAACUUGUACCUUAUUUUAAGACCUUCAUUCUCACUGGACUCAUUUUAUAUCAUUUCAAAAGCAAGAAAAAUGUAAGGAUGCUGAACUUAGUGCAAUAGAUCUUUUAAAGGACAUGCAUUGCAACAAAAAGAAAGGUUUUAGUGAAAAUAUUGAGAAAGCUAUUGUAAGUGCUUGUUUUCCUUUCAUGUUUGUACUCACAACUUGCAACUUCUGGUAUACUAUACUGAUGAAUAACCUUUAACCUUUAUAUUAGGUUGACAUGGAAGAAAUAAUGGUAGCACCAAUUUAGGAUGGAUAACAACCAAAAUAUCCUACAAAAGUUGUUUCUAGUAUCAUACCGGGCUCCAGUGUGUUCCUAUGCAAUGUUGGUCUUCGGUCUGCAUCCAAGAAAAGCUCCAUAGCGUCAAUUUCUGCAAAGGUUCAACAACUUUAGGAUGAACUUGAGAUCAAGAAGCAAGAAAUAUUUGUAGUGAACAAAUUCAUGCGAUAUUUUGGUUGUGAUGUGUAAUAUUCCUUGACGAUAUGAAUGCUUAUGAUGUGUUCCUUCUAAUGACUAUUGUAUCUAUCACAAAUGCUUUGGCACAUCACUGCCAUGUCAUCAUAUUUUAUGAUGAAAAUAUUCGUCACAAAUGUAUUGCCAUAGAAGCGGCCACCAGUCCACCACCUUCCAAUUUGUGAUGAAAUUUUGCCAUGUCAUCUGCCACACGAUCAAAUCUAUGACAAAUAUUUUUGUCAUUAACAUUUUGCCACGUCACAUACCACGUCAUCACUAUUAGCCAUGUGGCAAUGCACGACAGUACAAAUUGUGACAUUUUCAAAGGCACUUAUGACGAAAUAAAGUGUCAUAGAUUUUGUGACGAAUCUGGUAUGCGUCACAAAACCUAUGACAUUUUUUUGAUGAUCGUCAUUGUAGUUCAUUUAACACGCACCUUCUAUGACGAUGUCCUUUUUGUCACAAUGGUGUCACCAAAAUACAACCUAUGACAAAUAAACACUAGUUAGUGACAUAAUCAUAAUGUCACAGAAGGCCUAAAAGGUUGUAGUGACUGGGAAGAAGUUCCUGGACUUCUGCGAGGACCACCACAUCCGUGUGGACUGGGCCGCCGUGGCUCACCCCAUGACGAAUGGGCAGGUGGAGUGUGCCAACGGUAUGCUUCUGCAGACACUCAAACCAAGGAUCUACAACGACCUCAACAAGUUCGGCAAGUGAUGGAUGAAAGAGCUACCCUCGGUGGUCUGGAGUCUGAGGACGACGCCAAGCCGAGCCACGGGUUUCUCGCUGUUCUUUCUAGUCUAUGGGGCCGAGGCUAUCUUGCCCACAGACUUAGAAUACGAUUCCCUAAGGACAAGGGCGUACGACGACCAAAGCAACCAGACCAGCCGAGAAGACUCACUGGACCAGCUGGAAGAGGCUCGGGACAUGGCCUUACUAUACUCGGCGCGAUAUCAGCAGUCUCUACGACGCUACCACGCCCGAGGGGUUCAGCCCCGAGACUUCCAGGUGGGAGACUUGGUACUUCGGCCGCGGCAGGACGCCCGAGGGCGCCACAAGCUUACUCCUCCCUGGGAAGGGCCGUUCAUCAUCGCUAAGAUUUUGAAGCCCGGAACAUACAAGCUGCCAACGAUCAAGGCGAGGUCUACGGCAACGCUUGGGACAUCCGACAGCUACGUCGCUUUUACCCUUAAGAUGUUUACAAGUCGUUCAUAUACCUCGUUUUCUAUACAUACACAAAUAAAGUCUCACCGUCAAGGAAGGGUCAGCCUUACCUCGGCAAAGCCCGACCCUCCCUCGGGGGCUAGAAGGGGGGAACCCUCUUUUUGACAGCCGCCCCAGAGCACUCGGGCUUCAGGCUCAUUACUGAUCAGGGGUUCGAAGGCUGGCCCCUCGGAAGGGUUCGACAGCCGCCUAGAGCACUUGGGCUCCGCGCCCACUACUGAUCAGGGGUUCGAAGGCUGGCCCCUCGGAAGGGUUCGAUAGCCGCCCCAGAGCACGCAGAGCGAGGGAUGACUCUGGGUACGUCCGUUACAUGGCCGAGGCUCGGGCUAUGCUCCCGAGGUACCCUAGGACAUUUCCGAGACCAGCAGGAGCGAUUUUGUAACAGAAUCCCAUCAAAGGGAGGCAUCGAGCCCUCGGACCCCAUCGAACGGGUCCGGGUCUGGCAAAUCACCUGCAGGUACUUUUGGAGCGCGCCUCUGGGCCACUAGUCGACCAUUAUCGAACGGGGCACGGGCGUCCACUCGGAUCACCCGUUAGCAACUCACGGGAGACACCAUGUUCGGCGCCCUCCGAGGGCAACAUGGCGCUUCCCCCCCUUCCUCCUUGCGGAAAGGCGACGAAGGGGCGUACAAUAAAAGUCGAGAUAGUCCUUGAUCGUCCUCUCGCUUCGUGCAAAGGCUCGGGGGCUGCUCUCGCAAACCCGGCUACGGCCAAACCGUUGACAGCGUCAACAAACCAGCCUGAAAACUCGGAACCUGACUGUAACGCCCCGAAUUUUGCAGUUGAAUUUUUUUUUCUUUUCUUUACUCGCCAAAAUUCGGGCGUUACCUUUUCUUUUUCUUUUUUCCCCUCGCUAAACCUUGACCUUUUCCAAAGUUCUAGCGGGAUUCGGUUUGGAAUUCCCGUGUAAGAAAAACCCUAAAUACUUUAUGUUGUUUGAUGCACCAUGCCGAACCUUGCAUUUCUUUUGAUUGCUUUGAAAGCGCAAUUGCAUUCAUGUAGAAAGAUCGGAUUUCGAAAAAGAGGAGAAGAUCUUUUCUUUCUUUUUUCUCCCUCUCUUUUUCUCUCCUCUUUUUCUCUCUCUCCCGCGCCGUGGGCCGACCCCGGCCGGCCCAGCCGCCCCUGGCGCCCCCUCUUGGGCCCAAAAAGGCCCAGCCCCCCCUCAUUCCCCCUUUUUUCCCCAAACCCUCUCCCUCUCCCUCUCAUUUUCUCUCAUUUUCUCUCCCCCACCCUAAGCCGCCGCCGCCCCCUGCCGGCCGCCCUCGCCGUCGGCCGCCCAUCGCCGGUGAGCCCCCUCCUCCCUCUCUCCCUCCUCCCUCCCUCUCCCCUCUCCCCUCCUCCCUCCCCUUGGCAGCCCAGCCGCCCGGCCGCUGGCCGCGCCCCUGGCCACGCCCCAGCCGGCCGCUGCCGGCCGCUGGCCGCCCCUGGCCGCGCCCUCGGCCGCCCGCCCAGCCGCGCCCAACCGCCCCCAGCCCGCGCCCCUGGCCGCGCCCCAGCCGGCCGCUGGCCGCCCCUGGCCGGUCCCGGCCGCCCCCAGCCCGGCCGCCCCCCAGCCGCUCGCCUAGGGCCGGUUCAACCGCCCCUAGGGCCGGUUCAACCGCCCCCCCCUGUUUUUUUUAUUUUUUUAUUUUAUUUUAUUUACUUUCUGUGAUCAUAGCUAUUUUAUUUUAGGUAGGCUAAUCACUGUUCAUGUUAUUGAAAUAGGAAGUUUAAUUUAGAAUUCCGUUACGCUAAUUGAUUCAUGUGAUUCACUGUUUAUCUCGUUCAAUGUUGAUCAACUUAAAAUGAUUAGGUUUCCAUUAGUGUAUAUGUAACAGAAUUCUUUUGUUAAGAACCAAUUGUAAUUGAUCGUUAGUACAUAAGAUUUAACCCCCUGCGAGACCCUUUCCCGUUUCUUUCUAACCAUAACAAAUGCAAUGUCAAAUGUCAUACUUGAUGCAUAUUCGCUUUAUUUGUUCCCUUGUAUGGUGUACUGUUCUUUUGUAUUAAAUAUGUGGAUGGAUGUAUGUAUGUUUGCGCUCGCAUAGAGAACGAUCCGGUCGAAGAGCCCGAGGAAUUCGCAGGAGAAGCCCCUGAGCAGCAGUCGGUUGGUGGAGGCAAGUGUCCUUUGACCUAUCUCUGUCCUAAUCAUUCUUUAAUUCACCUCCCGCAUCACACAUUUAUACCUAAGGAUUGACUAGCUUUUUGUUAUCCAUGUCCUUGUUUACCUAUUUGGGUCGGAUUAUUACUGCUUAGUUUGAUGCUAUUGCUCAACUUUAAUCAAUGAACAUGAUGUGGUUAUCUAUGAUACGCUGUUUUCCCGUUCUUAUUUAUGAUUAUACUUGUGGCAUUUAAGGGGACUCGAGCGGUUUCUCGAGUGCCUCUCCGUAAGGACCUGUUCAAUGGAUGACCGCCCGGGAAAACAGUGCAACCAUGAGGGUGGAAUGGGGUGCCCUUAGCUGAAUAAUUAGAGGAUCCGGGGUGUAGUUCGCUUCGCCGUCGUGCCGUCAAUGGGGCUCGGUGUAUGCGGCUCGCUCUGCCAAGGUUGAUUUGUCCCUUGGAGAGGAGUGCGGUACAUUUAGGAAACCUAACGGGCGGCUACAGCCCCGGGGAAUCUUUGUAAAGGCUUCGUAGUGAAUCCCUGGCCAUUCACCUCGGGAGUGAAUAAGGGUCUUGCAAGCCCGGGCCAGAGAGGGAAUCACGACUUGUGGGUAAAGUGCACAACCUCUGCAGAGUGUUAUGAAACUGAUAUAUCAGUCGUGCUCGCGGUUAUGAGCGGCCAAGGGAGCUCCAGAGAUUAGUGAUACUUGAUCAGAGAUACUUUGGUACAGGUGACAAUGAGAUUGAUGGUUCUGAUUACGAUUAUGGUAUUGGUAAGUGGUAUUCUUUCCGUUUGGAAAGGAUGCAUUGGGCUAAUAACUUGGGUUAAUGUUAAAACCUGGCUUUCUACUAGUAAGUAAUAACCUGACCAACUAAAAGCAACUGCUUGACUUAUCCCCACAUAAAGCUAGUCCACUACAGCCAAACAGGAUACUUGCUGAGUAUGUUGAUGUGUACUCACCCUUGCUCUACACACCAAACCCCCCCCCCCAGGUUGUCAGCAUUGCAACCACUGCUCAGGCGAAGAUGAAGCUGUGGAAGGAGACUUCCAGGAGUUCCAAGACUACGACGAGUUCUAGGUGUGGGUUAGCGGCAAACCCCCAGUCGGCUGCCUGUGAAGGCCGUGUUAUCUACGUUUCUUUUCCGCACUUUGAUUUAUUGUAAGAACUAUAUGGACGUCUCAGACGUAUGAUGUAAUCGACUAUUUCCCUUAUUAAUACUAUUUUGAGCACUGUGUGAUGAUGUCCAUAUUAUGUAACUGCUGUGUACGUGAAUAACUGAUCCUGGCACGUACAUGGUUCGCAUUCGGUUUGCCUUCUAAAACCGGGUGUGACAUAAGUGGUAUCAGAGCCGUGCUGACUGUAGGACCGCUGACCUAGAGUAGAAUGGUCGUUCUAAGGACUAUAGACCUCUGUCUCUGCCUUGACUUUGAUAUCCCUUCAAAAGUUGGUCAUACCGACCAAGCCUAUGUUCUACUAUAUAUUAUACCUUGCUGAAAAUCAUGUUUUAUUCUAAUCCUUCAUUUACUUAUGAUUCAUUAUUUGCUGGUCAUAUUAAUUCUGUUCUCACCCUUUUGCUUGCGAUGUCUUUUGUAGAUGGCUCGACUUAGACACACUGCACGAAAGUCCGUCAUCCCCUUCUUACCCUCCCGCCUUGCUGAGCGUCCGCUUCGCCGUCCCGUGGCCGGACAGUCUAGCCACUUGGAGAGACUACACCACCGCCUGCGUGAGGAGCAGGAACGUCGACGACAGGAGCAGCAGGGCUCUUCUUUCUCGCUCCACCAGGAGAUAGAGUCUGUGAGGAGCUGCUCUCCUGUGCUUCCUCUGGAGGCGCCCCCUGCACCACCACUGGGCGCCCCAGCUUCUGGAGUAGCUGCUGGAGGAGACCCAGACGACGGAGAUGGCGACGACAGCUCGAGCCACGACACCGACUUCUCUGCUAACCCUGAGCCGGAAGGAUGGGUUGCUCGACCCAUCACUCGCGACGCUGCUCGCGGGUGUCACUUCCACGAUGCGCUCGACACCCUGCUACGUCGGGCAUUUGACCGGCAUACUUGGUCCGUCGAGUAUCGCUGUGUGGUCUACCAGCAUAGUCGCGGGGUCUACCCGGACCGCUGGGAGGCGACUUGCUUGGUGCGCUGCCCGGAGGACAGUCUCCAGGGUGCAGAGGCCUGCUCAGAGCACUAUUCUAUCUCUGAACGGGACUCAGCUGAGGCAGCCAUGCAAGAUGCUGCACGGCGUGCGCUUUUGCACUACUGCUCGGUUUUCGGUGGGGCAGCUGACGGUCUUGACCUGAAGUAUUACCCCCGCCGUUCAUCUGGCAGCACAGGAGGCGUGAUUGUCUCACCUGUCGGUGAGGGCAAUCCUAGGUUGAGCAGCACAGUCAACCUAGCCGCCGUGCUAAACACGGAGCUGGACCAUGCAUUAGAUGAGCUGAGUAGGGCUCGUGCUGAGAUUGCCCUGCUGCGGGCUGAGCGCGCGGAACGUCGUCAUCUGGAUGGUGGUUCCCCCGCUCCCGUCGGGACUCAGCACCCGUACCGCUCACCUCAGCGUGGACACCAGCCUUAUGGCAAUCCCGACUGCAAGACCAAGAUAAAUCUAGAACCAUAGAUCGCUAGAGUUGGAUCUUGUAAUUAAUACGAAAUAUAUAUACAUAGAAGCUUCAGUCUUAGCGUUAGUCUCAGUCUUAGUUAGUCUUAGUUAGACAGGGUAGUUUGCUAUAUCCUGUGCAUUUAUGUUUGUCAUGAUGAACUAUGUUUGGUUUGGAUCUUUGUAAUGAUUGUCACCAGAGUGUGGGUAUCCCCUGCAUUUUGGUUUACAUAUUAUGUUAAUAAAGUUAGUUAUAUAGUUGGGAAACCUUUUAUUCCCCUUUCCUUUCUAUCUGAGAAGCUGUGUGGUCUGUGUUGGAGAUCAGUGAAGAUGCUCAUCUGUUCAGUGCUGUUGAAGAAUUCUAUUCUCUUUUCUUAUGCUGCAAGAUUUGCAAGAUCAGUUCUGAUGUGUGGUUGCAUUCUGCAGAUGUCAGAGAACAGGCGCAGAGGAGGAAGGCGUGCUCAACAGGAGCGAGUUGCUCCGCAGGAUGAGGCGCCCCAGCAGCAGCAGCUGCCACCCCCGCCCCCGAUGUCGAUCGAGCAGAUGUUUCUGAUGCAGACUCAGGCAGUUCAGGCCAUCGGUCAGACUCUGGCCGCCAUUCAGCAGCAACAACAGCAGCAAGCACCACCCCAGCCUCAGAUGCCCAGAGACAAGCGUGCUGAAUUCAUGAGAGGUCAUCCCCCAACGUUCGCUCACUCUUCUGACCCCAUGGAUGCUGAAGAUUGGCUGCGCACUGUGGAGCGGGAGUUGCAUACCGCUCAGUGUGAUGACAGGGAGAAAGUCUUGUAUGGUCCCCGUCUGUUGAGAGGAGCAGCCCAAUCAUGGUGGGAGUCUUACCUCGCCACCCAUGCCAACCCCGACACCAUCACCUGGGAAGAAUUCAGAGGUAGCUUUCGUCAGUACCACGUGCCUGCAGGUCUGAUGACAGUGAAGAAGGAGGAGUUCCUGGCCCUUAAGCAAGGGUCAUCAUCUGUCAGUGAGUAUCGAGACAGGUUUCUGCAAUUGUCUCGCUAUGCUCCUGAGGAUGUCAACACUGACGCCAAGCGACAAUACCGUUUCCUGAGAGGCUUGGUCGACCCCCUGCAGUAUCAGCUGAUGAAUCACACCGUCCCGACAUUCCAGCACCUGAUUGAUAGAGCGAUCAUGACAGAAAGGAAGCGUAAGGAGAUGGAAGAUCGUAAGCGCAAGAUCAGUGGACCCCAGCCUGGAAGCAGCAGCCGCCCUCGUUUUUCAGGCAAUCAACCUCAGCAGUUCAGGCAGAACCUGCGUCCACCUCAGCAGCAUCAGCAGUUUCAAAGGCAGUAUCCUCAUCAUCAGUACCAGAACCGUCAGAGCAAUCAGUCAGGAGGUCAGUUUCAAAGGCAGAAUCAGCAAGCACCCCGUCUUCCUGCCCCAGCAAACCAGCAGAACAGUCAGGCAGCACCAGCUCAGGUUGGAAACAGGGCAUGUUUCCAUUGUGGAGAGCAGGGUCACUGGGUGAUGCAAUGUCCGAAGAAGGCAGCCCAGCAGCAGUCAGGCCCCAAUGCCCCAGCAAAGCAGAAUGUGUCUCAGCCUGGAGCAGGCAACCGCCCUCAACAGCGCUAUAAUCAUGGAAGAUUGAAUCACUUGGAGGCCGAAGCAGUUCAGGAGACCCCCGGCAUGAUAGUAGGUAUGUUCCCAGUCGACUCCCAUAUUGCAGAAGUGUUAUUUGAUACUGGAGCAACGCAUUCUUUCAUUACUGCAUCAUGGGUAGAAGCACAUAAUCUUCCAACUACUACCAUGUCAACCCCCAUUCAAAUUGACUCAGCCGGUGGUAGAAUUCGAGCCGAUAGCAUUUGUUUGAAUAUAAGUGUGAAAAUAAGGGGGAUAGCGUUUCCCGCCAACCUUAUAGUAAUGGGUACUCAGGGAAUAGAUGUCAUCCUAGGGAUGAAUUGGCUGGAUAAGUAUCAGGCAGUUAUCAGUUGUGAUAAAAGGACAAUCAAGUUGGUGUCCCCACUAGGAGAGGAAGUGGUGACCGAGUUAGUCCCACCUGAGCCGAAGAAAGGAAGUUGUUAUCAGAUGGCUGUCGAUAGCAGUGAAGCAAAUCCAAUUGAGAGCAUCAAGGUUGUGUCUGAAUUCCCAGAUGUGUUUCCAAAGGAUUUACCGGGUAUGCCACCAGAGCGGAAAGUUGAGUUUGCCAUAGAGCUUCUUCCUGGAACCGCCCCCAUCUUUAAGAGAGCUUACAGAAUAUCCGGACCAGAGUUGGUUGAGCUUAAGAAGCAGAUUGAUGAGCUGUCAGAGAAAGGUUACAUUCGGCCAAGCACCUCGCCUUGGGUCGCCCCUGUCUUAUUUGUGGAGAAGAAAGAUGGCACCAAGAGGAUGUACAUCGAUUAUCGAGCUUUGAAUGAGGUCACGAUCAAGAACAAGUAUCCCUUGCCCAGAAUAGAAGAUCUGUUCGACCAGUUGAGAGGAGCCAGUGUGUUCUCCAAGAUUGAUCUGAGGUCAGGUUAUCAUCAGCUCAGGAUCCGACCUUCGGACAUUCCGAAGACGGCAUUCAUUACCAAGUAUGGUUUGUAUGAGUUCACAGUGAUGUCUUUUGGUUUGACCAAUGCACCAGCGUUCUUCAUGAAUCUGAUGAACAGUGUAUUCAUGGAUUACCUUGAUAAGUUUGUGGUGGUAUUCAUUGAUGACAUUCUGAUUUAUUCCCAAAGCGAAGAAGAGCACGCAGAUCAUUUGAGGAUGGUAUUGCAGAGAUUGCGAGAGCACCAGUUGUACGCAAAGUUGAGCAAGUGCGAGUUCUGGAUCAGCGAAGUCCUGUUCUUGGGUCACAUAAUCAACAAGGAAGGAUUGGCUGUGGAUCCGAAGAAAGUGGCAGACAUUCUGAACUGGAAAGCGCCAACGGAUGCUCGAGGAAUCAAGAGUUUCAUUGGAAUGACCGGAUAUUAUCGGCGAUUCAUUGAAGGGUUUUCGAAGAUUGCGAAACCAAUGACAGCGUUGCUAGGCAACAAGGUUGAGUUCAAAUGGACCCAGAAAUGUCAAGAGGCCUUUGAAGCGCUGAAAGAGAAGUUGACUACAUCGUCUGUCCUAAUCUUGCCUGAUGUGCACAAGCCCUUCUUGGUGUAUUGUGAUGCUUGUUACACAGGUUUGGGAUGCGUGUUGAUGUAAGAGGGAAGAGUUGUGGCUUACUCGUCCCGGCAGCUGAAGGUUCAUGAGAAGAACUACCCAAUCCAUGAUCUAGAGUUGGCAGUAGUGGUUCACGCACUGAAGACAUGGAGGCACUAUUUGUAUGGACAGAAAUGCGAUGUUUACACAGAUCACAAGAGUCUGAAGUACAUAUUCACUCAGUCAGAGUUGAACAUGAGGCAACGAAGAUGGUUAGAGCUGAUCAAAGACUAUGAGUUGGAGAUUCAUUACCAUCCAGGCAAAGCAAACGUAGUGGCAGAUGCUUUGAGCAGAAAGAGUCAAGUCAAUCUGAUGGUCGCUCGUCCGAUGCCUUAUGAGUUGGCCAAGGAGUUCGACAGGUUGAGUCUCGGGUUUCCGAACAAUUCGCGAGGAGUCACAGUUGAAUUGGAACCUACCUUGGAGCGAGAAAUCAAAGAAGCGCAGAAGAAUGAUGAGAAAAUCAGUGAGAUCCGGCGACUGAUUCUAGAUGGUAAAGGCAAAGAUUUUCGAGAAGAUGCAGAAGGCGUGAUAUGGUUCAAAGACCGCUUGUGUGUUCCCAAUGUCCAGUCUAUUCGGGAGUUGAUCCUUAAGGAAGCUCAUGAGACAGCUUAUUCGAUUCACCCUGGUAGUGAGAAGAUGUAUCAGGAUCUGAAGAAGAAAUUCUGGUGGUACGGAAUGAAGAGGGAAAUCGCAGAGCAUGUGGCUAAGUGCGAUAGUUGUCGAAGAAUUAAGGCAGAGCACCAGAGACCAGCUGGAUUGUUGCAACCGUUGCAGAUCCCUCAGUGGAAAUGGGAUGAAAUUGGUAUGGAUUUCAUAGUCGGAUUGCCUCGCACUCGAGCCGGCUACGAUUCCAUUUGGGUAGUAGUGGACCGCUUGACCAAGUCAACCCACUUCAUACCUGUCAAGACCAACUAUAGCAGUGCAGUAUUGGCAGAAUUGUAUAUGUCUCGGAUCGUUUGUCUUCAUGGUGUGCCAAAGAAGAUAGUGUCAGACAGAGGAACGCAGUUCACCUCUCAUUUCUGGCAGCAGUUGCAUGAAGCUUUGGGCACGCAUCUGAAUUUCAGUUCAGCUUAUCAUCCGCAGACAGAUGGCCAGACCGAAAGAACCAAUCAAAUUCUCGAAGACGUGUUGAGAGCCUGUGCGUUGCAAGAUCAGUCCGGAUGGGACAAGAGAUUGCCUUAUGCGGAGUUUUCCUAUAACAACAGUUAUCAGGCCAGUUUGAAGAUGUCACCAUUUCAGGCGCUCUAUGGAAGGAGUUGUAGAACUCCGUUGCAAUGGGAUCAGCCUGGAGAGAAGCAAGUGUUUGGGCCAGACAUUUUGCUUGAAGCCGAAGAGAACAUCAAGAUGGUUCGAGAGAAUCUGAAGAUAGCGCAAUCGAGGCAGCGAAGCUAUGCAGACACAAGAAGAAGAGAGCUGAGUUUCGAAGUCGGAGACUUUGUCUAUCUGAAAGUGUCACCGAUCAGAGGAGUCAGAAGAUUCGGAGUGAAAGGCAAGCUAGCACCCCGCUACAUUGGUCCGUACCAGAUCCUCUCAAAGCGUGGAGAAGUGGCUUAUCAGCUCAGCCUACCAGAGAAUUUGUCUGCUGUGCAUGAUGUCUUUCAUGUGUCUCAGUUGAAGAAGUGCUUGCGUGUGCCAGAAGAGCAGUUGCCAGUGGAAGGUCUUGAGGUCCAGGAGGACUUGACCUAUGUUGAGCAGCCAGCUCAAAUCCUUGAGAUUGCAGACAGAGUCACCCGAAGGAAGACCAUCAGAAUGUGCAAGGUCAGAUGGAAUCACCACUCUGAGGAAGAAGCAACCUGGGAGCGUGAAGAUGAUUUGAUGGCCAAGUACCCAGAGCUCUUUGCUAGCCAGCCCUGAAUCUCGAGGGCGAGAUUCUUUUAAGGGGGAUAGGUUUGUAACGCCCCGAAUUUUGCAGUUAAAUUUUUUUUUCUUUUCUUUACUCGCCAAAAUUCGGGCGUUACCUUUUCUUUUUCUUUUUUCCCCUCGCUAAACCUUGACCUUUUCCAAAGUUCUAGCGGGAUUCGGUUUGGAAUUCCCGUGUAAGAAAAACCCUAAAUACUUUAUGUUGUUUGAUGCACCAUGCCGAACCUUGCAUUUCUUUUGAUUGCUUUGAAAGCGCAAUUGCAUUCAUGUAGAAAGAUCGGAUUUCGAAAAUGAGGAGAAGAUCUUUUCUUUCUUUUUUCUCCCUCUCUUUUUCUCUCCUCUUUUUCUCUCUCUCUCGCGCCGUGGGCCGACCCCGGCCGGCCCAGCCGCCCCUGGCGCCCCCUCUUGGGCCCAAAAAGGCCCAGCCGCCCCCCCCUCAUUCCCCCUUUUUUCCCCAAACCCUCUCCCUCUCCCUCUCAUUUUCUCUCAUUUUCUCUCCCCCACCCUAAGCCGCCGCCGCCCCCUGCCCUAAGCCGCCGCCGCCCCCUGCCGGCCGCCCUCGCCGUCGGCCGCCCAUCGCCGGUGAGCCCCCUCCUCCCUCUCUCCCUCCUCCCUCCCUCUCCCCUCUCCCCUCCUCCCUCCCCUUGGCAGCCCAGCCGCCCGGCCGCUGGCCGCGCCCCUGGCCGCGCCCUCGGCCGCCCGCCCAGCCGCGCCCAACCGCCCCCAGCCCGCGCCCCUGGCCGCGCCCCAGCCGGCCGCUGCCGGCCGCUGGCCGCCCCUGGCCGGUCCCGGCCGCCCCAGCCCGGCCGCCCCCCAGCCGCUCGCCUAGGGCCGGUUCAACCGCCCCUAGGGCCGGUUCAACCGCCCCCCUGUUUUUUUUUAUUUUUUUUAUUUUAUUUUAUUUACUUUAUGUGAUCAUAGCUAUUUUAUUUUAGGUAGGCUAAUCACUGUUCAUGUUAUUGAAAUAGGAAGUUUAAUUUAGAAUUCCGUUACGCUAAUUGAUUCAUGUGAUUCACUGUUUAUCUCGUUCAAUGUUGAUCAACUUAAAAUGAUUAGGUUUCCAUUAGUGUAUAUGUAACAGAAUUCUUUUGUUAAGAACCAAUUGUAAUUGAUCGUUAGUACAUAAGAUUUAACCCCCUGCGAGACCCUUUCCCGUUUCUUUCUAACCAUAACAAAUGCAAUGUCAAAUGUCAUACUUGAUGCAUAUUCGCUUUAUUUGUUCCCUUGUAUGGUGUACUGUUCUUUUGUAUUAAAUAUGUGGAUGGAUGUAUGUAUGUUUGCGCUCGCAUAGAGAACGAUCCGGUCGAAGAGCCCGAGGAAUUCGCAGGAGAAGCCCCUGAGCAGCAGUCGGUUGGUGGAGGCAAGUGUCCUUUGACCUAUCUCUGUCCUAAUCAUUCUUUAAUUCACCUCCCGCAUCACACAUUUAUACCUAAGGAUUGACUAGCUUUUUGUUAUCCAUGUCCUUGUUUACCUAUUUGGGUCGGAUUAUUACUGCUUAGUUUGAUGCUAUUGCUCAACUUUAAUCAAUGAACAUGAUGUGGUUAUCUAUGAUACGCUGUUUUCCCGUUCUUAUUUAUGAUUAUACUUGUGGCAUUUAAGGGGACUCGAGCGGUUUCUCGAGUGCCUCUCCGUAAGGACCUGUUCAAUGGAUGACCGCCCGGGAAAACAGUGCAACCAUGAGGGUGGAAUGGGGUGCCCUUAGCUGAAUAAUUAGAGGAUCCGGGGUGUAGUUCGCUUCGCCGUCGUGCCGUCAAUGGGGCUCGGUGUAUGCGGCUCGCUCUGCCAAGGUUGAUUUGUCCCUUGGGGAGGAGUGCGGUACAUUUAGGAAACCUAACGGGCGGCUACAGCCCCGGGGAAUCUUUGUAAAGGCUUCGUAGUGAAUCCCUGGCCAUUCACCUCGGGAGUGAAUAAGGGUCUUGCAAGCCCGGGCCAGAGAGGGAAUCACGACUUGUGGGUAAAGUGCACAACCUCUGCAGAGUGUUAUGAAACUGAUAUAUCAGCCGUGCUCGCGGUUAUGAGCGGCCAAGGGAGCUCCAGAGAUUAGUGAUACUUGAUCAGAGAUACUUUGGUACAGGUGACAAUGAGAUUGAUGGUUCUGAUUACGAUUAUGGUAUUGGUAAGUGGUAUUCUUUCCGUUUGGAAAGGAUGCAUUGGGCUAAUAACUUGGGUUAAUGUUAAAACCUGGCUUUCUACUAGUAAGUAAUAACCUGACCAACUAAAAGCAACUGCUUGACUUAUCCCCACAUAAAGCUAGUCCACUACAGCCAAAUAGGAUACUUGCUGAGUAUGUUGAUGUGUACUCACCCUUGCUCUACACACCAAACCCCCCCCCAGGUUGUCAGCAUUGCAACCACUGCUCAGGCGAAGAUGAAGCUGUGGAAGGAGACUUCCAGGAGUUCCAAGACUACGACGAGUUCUAGGUGUGGGUUAGCGGCAAACCCCCAGUCGGCUGCCUGUGAAGGCCGUGUUAUCUACGUUUCUUUUCCGCACUUUGAUUUAUUGUAAGAACUAUAUGGACGUCUCAGACGUAUGAUGUAAUCGACUAUUUCCCUUAUUAAUACUAUUUUGAGCACUGUGUGAUGAUGUCCAUAUUAUGUAACUGCUGUGUACGUGAAUAACUGAUCCUGGCACGUACAUGGUUCGCAUUCGGUUUGCCUUCUAAAACCGGGUGUGACACUGACCAUGCACCCGGGCUACAAUCAGAUUGCAUGAGGGAACAACCAGACCGAUCGAGGCAUCACGAAAGGCAUUAAGACCUCAGAGGAGUCAAACCACUCCUCCGAGGCCUCGGGGGCUACACCCGGCGGGUGCACUCGCGCGCACCCACCGGAACAAAGUGUAACCGAGAAAGGCCGGUCCCCUUGCAAAAAAAAGUGCGACAAAGCCUCCAAGCGAGUACCAACACUCCCUUUGAGGCUCGGGGGCUACUGUCGGGUACCGUAAUUAGGGUUACCCCCAACACUCCUAAACACGACUGGUAACCACCAUCAGCACAAGCUGUAGAGACUGAUGGGCACGAUUCAGGUCAAGGCUUCGUCUACUCAAGGGACGCGAUCUCGCCUCGCCCGAGCCCAGCCUCGGGCGGGAACAGUAGUCCCGUACAAAUUCUCGCCUCGCCCGAGGGCCUCCUCAAAGCAACGGGCGCACCCUCGACAUGCCCGAAGUCCAGCUCGGGCAGGCUUCGUAGUGAAGCAACCUUGGCCAAAUCGCCUCACCAACCGACCGUAUCGCAGGCGCAUUCAAUGCGAGGAUCGCGUGACGCCUUAUCCUGACACACGUGCCUCAGUCGGCAAGGUCGAAGUGACCGCAGUCACUUCGCCCUUCCACUGACCGACCUGACAGGAAAACAGCGCCGCUCGCCUCGCUCCGACUGCUGUGCCACCCGCUAGAAUGAGGCUGGCAACAGCCAAGUUCAGCCUCAGGCGCAACAGGAAGCUCUGCCUCGCCCGACUCCAGGGCUCGGCCUCAACCUCGGCCUCGGAAGGAGGACUCCGCCUCGCCCGACCCCAGAGCUCGGCUUCAACCUCGGCCUCGGAAGGAGGACUCCGCCUCACCCGACCCCAGGGCUCGGCCUCAGCCUCGGCCUCGGAGGGUGGUCUCCGCCUCGCCUGACCCCAGGGCUCGGCCUCAACCUCGACCUCGGGAGGAAUCGCGUCCUCGCCCGACCCCGGCCUCGGCCUCAGGAGGAGUCUCCGCCUCGCCUGACCUUGGGCUCGGACCGACCACGCCACGGGGGAUACUUCAUUACCCUACCCUAGCUAGCUCAGGCUACGGGGGAACAAGACCGGCGUCCCAUCCAGACUCGCCCCGGUAACAAGUAAUGAUGGCUCCCCGCGUGUGUCCAUGACGACGGUGGUUCUCAGCCCCCUACGAAAGCAGGGAGACGUCAGCAAGGUCCCAGCAGCCCCGACAGCUGUGCUUCUACAGGGCUCAAGCACUCCUCCGACGGCCACGACACCGCGUACACAGGGCUCUAGCACCUCUCCGACAGCCACGUUGGCAUGUACACAGGGCCCAGGCACCUCUCUGUCGGACACGUUAGCGCAUAGCUACACCCCCAUUGUACACCUGGACCCUCUCCUUGCAUCUAUAAAAGGAAGGUCCAGGGCCCUCAUGCGGGAGGGUCGCGCGGGAGGACGGGCUGACGAACAGGCUCACUCUCUCUCCCUCGCGAACGCUUGUAACCCCUACUGCAAGCGCAUCCCCCUGGCGCAGGAUAACACGAGCCGCGUUUUCCCCCCUUGUGUUCCAUCUCACGCCAACCCAUCUGGGCUGGGACACGCAGCGACGAUUUUACUCGUCGGUCCAGGGACCCUCCGGGGUCGAAACGCCGACAAAAGACUAUGUGGAUGUCUCAGACAUGUGAUGUAAUCGACUAUUAUUACUCCUUUAUGUGAUCAUUUGAGCACUGUGUAAUGAUGUCCAGUUAUGUAACUGCUGUGUACGUGAAUUGCUGAUCCUGGCACGUACAUGGUUCGCAUUCGGUUUGCCUUCUUAAAUCGGGUGUGACAGUGGGGCGGGCAAUAACUCGCGUCGGGAAGCGGACAGCGGCAAGUGGCAUCGAACGUGGCAUCGGGGCGGAUUGGUUCGAGUGGCGUCAAGAAGAAUGAGAUCGAACAGAUAGAUGCAAGGACUAAACCGACGAGUAGGACGAGAGUUAGAAGAACUCCGAUUAGGUGGACCCAGACAGAAUUGGUUUGGUCCACUAAAACUUCUAUUUUUUCUAUACUUAACAGUGAACCAACAUUAGGUAUAAGAAAUAUUAAAAAUUGAGGGGGCAUGGCCCCUUUGCCUACUAUGUAGAUCCGCCCCACGAUCUGGACUAAUGGGCUUCCCUGGUCUGCACACGCGCGCACGGCCUGUGUUUGUUGGUUGUUGAUGAAUGAUCUGUAGGUUGUUUUCCCAGGUAGCAUCGGGAGGUUGUUUCACUUUGUAAUAGGACGCUAUUUUCUUCACACCACAGAAGUAGCUUCCGAAUAAGGGCUUGUUCGUUUUGCUCUCAAUCCAUGUGGAUUGGGUGGGAUUGGAUGGGUUUCAAUUCCAAACAAGUCAAAAUCUUUCACAAUUUUUUUCAAUCCCAUCCAAUCCACAUGGGAUAGGAAUAACCGAACAAGCCCUAAUGUGGUUGCUUACCAUUCUCAGGGCUUCCGAGUAGGUUGAGUUGUUUUUAGCUAGAAGUCGUACGUGCUUGAUUUAUAUUAAUUAUAAGUCUACUAGUUCUCGUACUAAUACAUGUGUUUCCACAUUGAACCAUACGCUGGCAAGCCAGAAGUAAGCGCACAAAACGAAACCCCAUGCAUGGGGAUAUACAGAUGAUACUGAUCAAACGAUCUCUACCCUUAAUAUCCCCUUCAGCUAAUGUACAUACCAGUCACUCCUCAGCCCUCGCUCCCUUCAGACCAUGCAUGCAUUGCAACACGGCCCGAAUCUGUACCCUCCAGAUAGAUUAACAACACACACAAACUGAUCCAGAAAGGAACUUAAGGUUUCAAUGUUUGCCUUCCAGUCCAUAUCAGCUCACCAGCGAUGGAUCGUAUCCCUCCUCGACCUCGACUCAACCGGAGAAGGUCUGGAUGAUGGUGUUGUGCCAUGGGUCAGACAGGUGCUGCAGCAGGUUGUCGAAGGGCCCCUUGCCGGUGACGUUGUGCUGGAUCAGGAAGCCCAGGAACGCCAGCAUCGCCAGCCUCCCUGCACGCAGAACCGGAUGAUGAGAUCAUAACCGUCGUCAGAGAAGGAUCGGAAAGUGGCCGACGGUACUACUACUACUACUA
Molecule: long non-coding RNA, 38715 nt
Filed under: Zea mays
Lineage: Eukaryota; Viridiplantae; Streptophyta; Magnoliopsida; Poales; Poaceae
Description: long non-coding RNA (ZMAY_LNC005681)
Source: RNAcentral